GAAGGGUCAUCUUCACACAAUCCCAUGUAAUGAACAAGAAUGGGAUAAAGAGUUGGCUUACAAUUGCCACUUCACACAAUACAUGAAUAAACAUACAUCAUUCAGAGAUACACACAUAGGUCCGACUACGGAACCAAAAGAAAAGAAGACAACCCAACUGCUAGAUCCCUGAUCGUCCCAACUGGGCACCACUACUGAUCAAAAAGAAAAGAAACAACACAACGGACAAGAUCUUCAUCGAGCUCCCACUUGAGCUCAGUAGCGUCACCUGCACUGGUAUCAUCGGCACCUGCAACUGUUUGGAAGUAUCUGUGAGUCACGAGGACUCAGCAAUCUCACACCCGCGAGAUCAAGACUAUUUAAGCUUAAAGGAAAGGAUGGGGAAAAGAGGUGGAGCUACAGCAAGCACUAGCAUAUAAGGUGGCUAACAUACGCAAAUAAGAGCGAGAAGAGAAGCAACGGAACGGUCGUGAACUAGCAAUGAUCAAGAAGUGAUCCUGAACUCCUACUUACGUCAAACAUAACCCAGAAACCGUGUUCACUUCCCGGACUCCGCCGAGAAGAGACCAUCACGGCUACACACGCGGUUGAUGUAUUUUAAUUAAGUCAAGUGUCAAGUUCUCUACAACCGGACAUUAACAAAUUCCCAUCUGCCUCAUAACCGCGGGCACGGCUUUCGAAAGAUAAUACCCUGGAGGGGUGUCCCAACUUAGCCCAUCAUAAGCUCUCACGGUCAACGAAGGAUAAACCUUCUCCCAGGAAGACCCGAUCAGUCUCGGAAUCUCGGUUACAAGACAUUUCGACAAUGGUAAAACAAAACCAGCAAAGCCGCCCGAAUGUGCCGACAAAUCCCGAUAGGAGCUGCACAUAUCUCGUUCUCAGGGCACACCGGAUGAACACUAUGUACAACUAAAACCAGACCUCGAGUUUCCCCGAGGUGGCGCUGCAAGUGGCUCUAUUUUGGACCAGCACUCAGAGGAACACUGGCCCGGGGGUUUAAAAUAAGGAUGACCCUUGAGUCUGCAGAACCCAAGGGAAAAAGGCUUAGGUAGGCAAAUGGUAAAACCAAGGUUGGGCCUUGCUGGAGGAGUUUUAUUCAAAGCGAACUGUCAAGGGGGUCCCAUAAAUCACCCAACCGCAUAAGGAACGCAAAAUCAAGGAACAUAACACCGGUAUGACGGAAACUAGGGGCGGCAAGAGUGGAACAAAACACCAGGCAUAAGGCCGAGCCUUCCACCCUUUACCAAGUAUAUAGAUGCAUUAAUUAAGAUAAGAGAUAUUGUGAUAUCCCAACAUAAACAUAAUCCAACAUGGAGCAAUCUUCAUCUUCACCUGCUACUAGCAACGCUAUAAGAAGGGGCUGAGCAAAGCGGUAACAUAGCCAAUCAACGGUUUGCUAGGAAGGGUGAAAAGGUUAGGGGCUGACAAGGCCGUAUGGGAGGCAUGAUAUAGCAAGUGGUAGGUAGCGCGGCAUGGCAAUAGAACGAGCAACUAGCAAAGCAAAGAUAGAAGUGAUUUCGAGGGGUGGUCAUCUUGCCUGAGAUCCCGCAAGGAAGAAGAACGAGUCCAUGAAGAGACAAGGGAUGUAGUCGAACGAAUCCUCACAACUCCGGAACGAAACCGAAGCUAACGGGAGAAGCAAACCGGAAAGAAACAAACAACAUAGUAAACAACCACCACAGAAACAUGGCAUGAUGCACAAACAAAUAUGAUGCAUGUCCGGUUUAAUGAGGCAUGGCAUGGCAAAGUGCAACAAACAACACUACAAAUUAAGUGGAGCUCAAUAUGCAACGAGUUGCAUAUUGACGAAACACCACAUCAAUUAUUUAGUUCUCUCUCAUUUAUGUACCCAACAAUAUUAAAUGUUGAUUAACAUGGCAAGAGGUGAGACAUAAGUAAAUUACACAUUUUAGGCAAUUUAAAUGAGGCCAGAACAACAAACAACAAUUUCCGGAAAAUCCUCAUGUCCAUAAUUUAGAUUUGAUACUGUUCUGCCAUAAACGCAAUUUUAAUCUUGUUAAACAUUAAAAUGAAGUGCACCAUGUUAAACUAGGCAUUUUUCUACCCCAUUUGCAUAUAAAGUUUAUUAAAUUCCGAGUUACGGUUAAUUAGUUAUGGAGUAAAUCAUUUUAACAUGGCAUUUGAGCAAAUUAAACAAACAACACAUUUAAACAGUUUAAACAUGGAUGAAAGUUGGAUAUUAUUAAACUACACAAAUUUCUGAGCAUCUUUCAUAUAUAAUGUUUUUACAAAUGAUGCACGGUUAAUUAAUUAUUAAUGCAUGAACAUGAGGGGUUUUUCUAUAAAACUGCAAUACUCUGGAUAAUAGCUAAAUCGCAGACAUGAAAAAAAAACUACACUGGGCCGAAUCUAAAACCGAAGCAGGCCCAACAGAAGAAUAACAAAGGGGCGCUGGGGGGCCUCACCAUGGGCCAAGGCCCAGUCGAUGGAGAGGCUGGCUGGAGCGGGCGCUGGGCAAGGGCGCGGUCAACGCGAGGCACUGCUCGUGCACUCGUUCUCCUGUUCGAAGCAGGGGGUUGCGGGCGGCGCCUGGAGCAGAGCUUUGGUCUCCGGCGACGGGCGGCGCGACGGAGAGGCUACGCGGGGGAGGAGGCCCGGAUCUGGCGGCAAGCUCCUGGACGGCGCCAGAUCAGAAGAAGAGGAGGCCUCGGCGUGGUCUCUCCGACGAAGCGGCGACGCGGGGAAGAUCCCGAC
RNAcentral lists this long non-coding RNA (2715 nucleotides) under Triticum aestivum (bread wheat). Its description in RNAcentral is "long non-coding RNA (TAES_LNC004361)". The record is from RNAcentral. Lineage: Eukaryota; Viridiplantae; Streptophyta; Magnoliopsida; Poales; Poaceae.